CUUUUCAUCCCAUAAUAGCUUUGCUUUUUAGGAGCUUUUGCCAAAAAGCUCUUUCAAAUAGCUAUUGGAAGUCUCAGCAGAAUAUAUCAACGUGAGUUGUCCGUGGGCUGGUUGACUUCUCAUGCUCUAGUACAUUUUGGAGACACGAUUUGCCUUGCCCAAAGAAGUGUUCACUCUGCUUAACAUUUUAAAGUUUUUGAUGCAUCCACUGAUUCUGUUCUUUAGAAAAGCUACUGUAAAUUCAUUUUUGUUGACCUCUUGUAUAAUCUCCUCCAUAGGCCCAACAGUGCCAUCACCAUGAAGUCCCUAUCUGUGAUUUUCCUUUGGGUCUCUUGCAUGAACAAUUAAGUUAUUUGUCAAAGCUGACAGUUAAGCAUUGACCUGGACACCUGGCUAUCUCACUGAACUAUGAAUGGUGAUUUCUCCAAAUGAUUUUCCCAGGUUUACUUGCAGAUUCGCACAGGCAUCUGUGGAACGACAGCAGCCACUUCACCUUCUUCAGAUUUCUCUACCUCUCUAAUAGACAUGCAUCUUCUCCUGCCCCCAUAGAAUCAUAGAAUUGCCCAGGUUGGAAGGGACCUUGCAGAUCAUCUUGUCCAACCUUCAACACAUCACAAGUUCACAUUGACUACCUUCACCUCCAGGAUCUCCAGAUCUUCUUGAAAAGCACCAUUUCCCAGGAUACCAUCCAUCCAGCACUCCUGGAAGACCAUCCUGUCUUGGUCCUGUAUGUCCUUCCACAUCCAUGAAGAUGUUGUGUAGCACCAAGAUCUGCCAGAGACUUCCAAGAAGCUCGAGGAACCUCCAUUUUGAGAAUAAAGGUGUUCCAUCAGGAUGAGGAGAGGUCACCAGUGGUUAAUCAGAGUGACACUGGCCUACAUGCUACUGCAUUCAACCCAGAAAUACCCCAGAAGAUAAGUCACCAUCGACCACGCGAGGUCACGAGGGCAGGAACGGGCUGUGCAGCCCACAGCUUGUAGGACCUGCAGGAAAAAGGGUGUCUGAAGAUGUCAAAAAAGGGUUUGCAUCCCAGGAUUGUCCCUGCCAGCAUGGGACAAGUGACCUCUCUUUUACAGGUAGGUCACUUGGAAGUGAACUAGUGCUUCCAACCAAGCUAUUCAUUUGGCUUAUUUUCUUUUCUACUUGCCUUGUUACAAAUAAAAGGAAAAAAUAAAGUGGCAGACAUUUUAGAGAGUGAAUGUUGCAUAGUGAUAGAGGGUAGUAUCUGCUGGUAGUUUAAAGAGACUUCAGAAAAUCAAGGAUUAAAUGUCUUCCCUAACAUUAACACUGUACUAAAUCAAAAGCUUUACUCUUCCUGAAUUUGAAAUAGAUUUAGC
RNAcentral lists this long non-coding RNA (1337 nucleotides) under Calidris pugnax (ruff). RNAcentral's name for it is "lncRNA (ENSCPUG00000016023.1)". Lineage: Eukaryota; Metazoa; Chordata; Aves; Charadriiformes; Scolopacidae. The record is from RNAcentral.